CCUACGGGAGGCAGCAGUGGGGAAUAUUGCACAAUGGGGGAAACCCUGAUGCAGCGACGCCGCGUGAGUGAAGAAGGAUUUCGGUAUGUAAAGCUCUAUCAGCAGGGAAGAAGAAAGACGGUACCUGACUAAGAAGCCCCGGCUAACUACGUGCCAGCAGCCGCGGUAAUACGUAGGGGGCAAGCGUUGUCCGGAUUUACUGGGUGUAAAGGGAGCGUAGACGGUUGCGCAAGUCUGAAGUGAAAGCCCAGGGCUCAACCCUGGGACUGCUUUGGAAACUGGGGAGCUAGAGUGCUGGAGAGGUAAGUGGAAUUCCUAGUGUAGCGGUGAAAUGCGUAGAUAUUAGGAGGAACACCAGUGGCGAAGGCGACUUACUGGACAGUAACUGACGUUGAGGCUCGAAAGCGUGGGGAGCAAACAGGAUUAGAUACCCGUGUAGUC
This 441-nucleotide ribosomal RNA is filed under the name uncultured bacterium. Its description in RNAcentral is "partial 16S ribosomal RNA". It matches the Rfam family "Bacterial small subunit ribosomal RNA", at positions 338 to 795 of the family's 1533-position model. The record is from RNAcentral.